This 612-nucleotide long non-coding RNA is filed under the name Vitis vinifera (wine grape). RNAcentral's name for it is "long non-coding RNA (VVIN_LNC007891)". Lineage: Eukaryota; Viridiplantae; Streptophyta; Magnoliopsida; Vitales; Vitaceae. The record is from RNAcentral.
GAGCAUUUUAUCAUUUGUGUAAUAUAUACCAGGUACAACAAGAGCUGGGUUGAAGGCAAGCAUCUCAUUCUCAGCAAAGAAAUUAUCUAUGUUCUUGUUUAAUACCAACCGGCCCACUGGCUGCAAGGGCAAGAUAUCCUCAGGCCAAGUCUUGGUAACAUCAAGUGGAUCAAAGUCAAACUUGUCUUCAUGUUCAGGAUCCAUCGUCUGGAUGAAAAGCUUCCACUCAGGAUAGUUUCCAGCCUUGAUCGAGUCAUAGAGAUCCUGAGUAGCAUGACUGUGGUUAGUUCCUCCAACUCUUAUGGCUUCAUCCUCCAACAAACACUUGACUCCACACGUGGGUUUCCAGUGGAACUUCACAUAAUUUGCCUUCCCAGCCUUGUUGAUUAGAGUGAAGGUGUGAACACCAAAGCCUUCCAUGUGCCUAUAGUCCUGUGGGACACCCACAUCAUCGAAGAGGAAGGCAAAUGUGCUCAAGCUUUCUGGAUGGUAGGACAAGAAGUCAACAACUCUCCAAUACUCCUGGAUAUGGGACUUCGGAUUGGGUUUGAAAGCAUGGAUCACAUCAGGGAACUUCAUUGCAUCACGAAUAAAGAAGACUGGGAAAUUGUU